This 668-nucleotide ribosomal RNA is filed under the name uncultured Gammaproteobacteria bacterium. RNAcentral describes it as "bacterial SSU rRNA". It matches the Rfam family "Bacterial small subunit ribosomal RNA", at positions 98 to 762 of the family's 1533-position model. The record is from RNAcentral. Lineage: Bacteria; Pseudomonadati; Pseudomonadota; Gammaproteobacteria.
GCGGACGGGUGAGUAAUGCCUAGGAAUCUGCCUGGUAGUGGGGGACAACGUCUCGAAAGGGACGCUAAUACCGCAUACGUCCUACGGGAGAAAGUGGGGGAUCUUCGGACCUCACGCUAUCAGAUGAGCCUAGGUCGGAUUAGCUAGUUGGUGAGGUAAUGGCUCACCAAGGCGACGAUCCGUAACUGGUCUGAGAGGAUGAUCAGUCACACUGGAACUGAGACACGGUCCAGACUCCUACGGGAGGCAGCAGUGGGGAAUAUUGGACAAUGGGCGAAAGCCUGAUCCAGCCAUGCCGCGUGUGUGAAGAAGGUCUUCGGAUUGUAAAGCACUUUAAGUUGGGAGGAAGGGCAUUAACCUAAUACGUUAGUGUUUUGACGUUACCGACAGAAUAAGCACCGGCUAACUCUGUGCCAGCAGCCGCGGUAAUACAGAGGGUGCAAGCGUUAAUCGGAAUUACUGGGCGUAAAGCGCGCGUAGGUGGUUUGUUAAGUUGGAUGUGAAAUCCCCGGGCUCAACCUGGGAACUGCAUCCAAAACUGGCAAGCUAGAGUAGGGCAGAGGGUGGUGGAAUUUCCUGUGUAGCGGUGAAAUGCGUAGAUAUAGGAAGGAACACCAGUGGCGAAGGCGACCACCUGGGCUCAUACUGACACUGAGGUGCGAAAGCGU